GUAGGUGAACCUGCGGAAGGAUCAUUAUCGUUGGGGCUUCGGCCCCGUCGAGAUAGUACCCUUGCCAUUUAUUAGCGUACCUGUUCGUUUCCUCGGUGGGCUCGCCCGCCAAUGGGGACCAAAACUUAACUCUUGUAUCAUUGUCAUUUAGUCUGAAUAAAAAUUAAAAAAUUAAAACUUUCAACAACGGAUCUCUUGGUUCUG
Molecule: unclassified non-coding RNA, 204 nt
Filed under: rhizosphere metagenome
Description: partial ribosomal RNA internal transcribed spacer region
Source: RNAcentral